ACGUUGUGAAUCAGCCACUACAUCGCAGUCACGUGAUUAUAUGUAAGGUUUGCUCAAAUAAAAAAAGAAAAAAUUCCCUAUAAUCAGUACAUUAACCUGAAGGAUUUCUUUUUUUUGACAAAAACCCCCACAUAUAUAUACAAUUUAUAUUUCAUGUGAUGUGACGUAGUGGAACAUUCCUGACG
This 185-nucleotide microRNA precursor is filed under the name Lucilia cuprina (Australian sheep blowfly). RNAcentral describes it as "mir-989 microRNA precursor family". It matches the Rfam family "mir-989 microRNA precursor family". The record is from Rfam by way of RNAcentral. Lineage: Eukaryota; Metazoa; Arthropoda; Insecta; Diptera; Calliphoridae.